Molecule: ribosomal RNA, 253 nt
Filed under: uncultured bacterium
Lineage: Bacteria
Description: partial 16S ribosomal RNA
Rfam family: Bacterial small subunit ribosomal RNA
Source: RNAcentral
UACAGAGGUCUCAAGCGUUGUUCGGAAUUACUGGGCGUAAAGGGUGCGCAGGCCGCGCGGGCAGUCAAAUGUGUAAUUCAGGGGCUCAACCCCUGCACUGCGCUUGAUACUUCCGCGCUAGAACUUUGGAGAGGAGUCUGGAAUUCUCGGUGUAGCAGUGAAAUGCGUGGAUAUCGAGAGGAACACCAGUGGCGAAGGCGAGUCUCUGGACGACUCCUGACACUGAGGCACGAAAGCUGGGGGAGCAAACAGG